This 207-nucleotide ribosomal RNA is filed under the name uncultured bacterium. Its description in RNAcentral is "partial 16S ribosomal RNA". It matches the Rfam family "Bacterial small subunit ribosomal RNA", at positions 568 to 774 of the family's 1533-position model. The record is from RNAcentral.
CACGUAGGUGGCAGUGUAAGUCACAGGUGAAAUCCCUCGGCUCAACCGAGGAACUGCCUGCGAAACUGCAUUGCUUGAGUCCGGGAGGGGGGAGCGGAAUUCCCAGUGUAGCGGUGAAAUGCGUAGAUACUGGGAGGAACACCGGUGGCGAAGGCGGCUCCCUGGACCGGUACUGACACUGAGGUGCGAAAGCGUGGGUAGCAAACA